This is a long non-coding RNA of Orbicella faveolata, 202 nucleotides long. Lineage: Eukaryota; Metazoa; Cnidaria; Anthozoa; Scleractinia; Merulinidae. The record is from RefSeq and is a predicted model, not a curated record.
CAAAUCUGCUAUUGACGUCAUUUUGACCAAAAAAUCUGCGAAACCUUGUUAAGGAUACUUGAAACCCUUAGCUGACUAAACGUUGAGCCCGCGAUAGUUGCCGCUGACUGAAACAAUAUGGCGUCCUCCGGUGACAACGCAAGAGUGAAGGGUAUGACAAUCGUAAAGCCAGUCAUAUUUGGAAAUGUGUCGCACUACUUUG